UGGGGAAUAUUGGGCAAUGGGCGCAAGCCUGACCCAGCAACGCCGCGUGAGGGAAGAAGGCUUUCGGGUUGUAAACCUCUGUCCUUGGUGACGAAAAAAAUGACGGUAGCCAAGGAGGAAGCCCCGGCUAACUACGUGCCAGCAGCCGCGGUAAUACGUAGGGGGCGAGCGUUGUCCGGAAUUACUGGGCGUAAAGGGUGCGUAGGUGGCCUUUUAAGUUGGAUGUGAAAUCCCCGAGCUUAACUUGGGUGGUGCAUCUAAUACUGGAGGGCUAGCGUGCAGGAGAGGAAAGCGGAAUUCCUAGUGUAGCGGUGAAAUGCGUAGAUAUUAGGAGGAACACCAGUGGCGAAGGCGGCUUUCUGGACUGUAACUGACACUGAGGCACGAAAGCGUGGGGAGCAAACA
Molecule: ribosomal RNA, 405 nt
Filed under: uncultured prokaryote
Description: bacterial SSU rRNA
Rfam family: Bacterial small subunit ribosomal RNA
Source: RNAcentral